Molecule: unclassified non-coding RNA, 513 nt
Filed under: Hevea brasiliensis (rubber tree)
Lineage: Eukaryota; Viridiplantae; Streptophyta; Magnoliopsida; Malpighiales; Euphorbiaceae
Source: RNAcentral
AAAAAAAAAAAAAAAACAGUGAGGCUGAGAUACAAAAAAGAGCCUUCUUUUUCUCUCCAUUAUUUCUCUCAUAUAUAAUUCUCUCUUCUUUUCUAUGCUAAUUAAGCUCUUGGUGCUUCUCUGCCUAUCAUGGUUGGCAGUGAAGUUGGGAAACUGACAGCCACUGCUUGAUUUCUUUGCAUUUCGAUGUCAUUUGUUUCAUUGAUCUCUUCAUUUGCCUCGAUGGGUUGUGGCUUCGUUUCGGCUUCUUUUUCUUUGUAUUCCUUGUAUUUGCCCCAAAGAACUGAGUAGAGUCCUGCAACAAUCAGCAGAGCACCAAGAACACCUCCAAGAUAAAUCUUUUCUGCCAGGAUAAAGGAGCCCAUAAUCGCCACUAUAAUCAUCAUCAAAGGGCUAAAAGCAGUAACAAAGACUGGCCCCCUUUUCUGCAUUACAAGUCCUUGAACAUAAUAGGCAAUGCUUGAUGACACAAUACCAGCAUAAGCAGCGGCAAGAAGGUUCAUGUCCCAGCCA